GCAGCCCUGCAGUAAGGGGGCGGGUGCUAAGGUCCGUCCCCGAGAGGAGAAGAAUCCAGACCGCCAUCUAAGGUCCCGAAGUUCUGCCUGAGUUAGUCUAACGAAGUCCGGUCCCCGUGACAGCUAGGAUGUUGGCUUGGAAGCAGCCAUUCAUUCAAAGAGUGCGUAACAGCUCACUAGUCGAGGGUCCGGGCGUGGAUAAUAAUCGGGUAUAAGGCAGGCACCGAAGGUGCGGGAUAGUAAUGUAUAUUAAAAGUAUCGGUAGGGGAGCAUUCCAUGUGCGUCGAAUGUUGGGGGACGACCCCUGCUGGAGCGCAUGGAAAAGCAAAUGUAGGUAUAAGUAACGAUAAGGAGGGUGAGAUUCCCUCCCGCCGCAAGACCAAGGUUUCCCGGGCAAUGCCAAUCAGCCCGGGGUCAGUCGGGUCCUAAGCCUCAGCCGAACGGCGAGGGCGAUGGCAGACACGGUUAAUAUUCCGUGACUGCUGCAUGAUGCGAUUGCGGAGACGGAGAAGUGACACCGCCGCGGGCUGACGGAACAGCCCGUUGAAGAGAUUAGGCGCAGAUCAUGGCAGGCAAAUCCACCAUGAGAGCUGAAUCUUGAUAGUAUGCCCGUCCCCUCGGGGAAGGGCAAUAGUGCGGGUAAUCAUGCUCCCUAGAAAAUCCGCUAAGCUCCAGUCAUGCAGCACCCGUACCGCAAACGGACACACGUAGUCGGGUUGAACAUACUAAGGCGUUGAGAGAUUCAUGGUUAAGGAACUAGGCAAAUUAACCCCGUAACUUCGGGAAAAGGGGUCCUCGUCAUUUUGACGAGGCGCAGAGAAUAGGUCCAGGCAACUGUUUAACAAAAACACAGGGCUGUGCUAACACGAAAGUUGAUGUAUACAGUCUGACACCUGCCCGGUGCCGGAAGGUUAAGAGGAGAGGUCAUACCUUAGGUAGAAGCCUUGAAUUGAAGCCCCGGUAAACGGCGGCCGUAACUAUAACGGUCCUAAGGUAGCGAAAUUCCUUGUCGGGUAAGUUCCGACCUGCACGAAUGGUGUAAUGAUCCGGACACUGUCUCAAUCAUGAUCUCAGUGAAAUUGUAGUAUCGGUGAAGAUGCCGAUUACCCGCGAUGGGACGAAAAGACCCCGUGAACCUUUACUAUAGCUUAGCAUUGACCUCGGUCAUCCGAUGUGUAGGAUAGGCCGGAGGCUUUGAAGUUGCCGCGCCAGCGGUGAUGGAGCCAUCCUUGAAAUACGGCCCUUUGGCUGUCUG
This 1255-nucleotide ribosomal RNA is filed under the name Hoylesella buccalis. RNAcentral's name for it is "bacterial LSU rRNA". It matches the Rfam family "Bacterial large subunit ribosomal RNA", at positions 972 to 2217 of the family's 2925-position model. Lineage: Bacteria; Pseudomonadati; Bacteroidota; Bacteroidia; Bacteroidales; Prevotellaceae. The record is from RNAcentral.